RNAcentral lists this unclassified non-coding RNA (246 nucleotides) under uncultured Preussia. RNAcentral describes it as "sequence contains ITS2". Lineage: Eukaryota; Fungi; Ascomycota; Dothideomycetes; Pleosporales; Sporormiaceae. The record is from RNAcentral.
AACGCACAUUGCGCCCUUUGGUAUUCCUUAGGGCAUGCCUGUUCGAGCGUCAUAUAAUUACUCAAGCAAAGCUUGGUUAUGGGUGCCUGUCCCGCCCCGUGCGUGGACUCACCUCAAAUCCAUUGGCGGCCCCCCGCCGGCCACGAGCGCAGCAGAAACGCGGUCUCGUGCCCCGGUAGGGCGGCCCCCAGAAGCAAACCCCCCAUUUUUGACCUCGGAUCAGGUAGGGAUACCCGCUGAACUUAA